Molecule: ribosomal RNA, 395 nt
Filed under: uncultured bacterium
Lineage: Bacteria
Description: bacterial SSU rRNA
Rfam family: Bacterial small subunit ribosomal RNA
Source: RNAcentral
GACGAACGCUGGCGGCGUGGAUAAGACAUGCAAGUCGAACGGGAGUUUAUUUAUAGCAAUAUGAGUGAACUCUAGUGGCGAAAGGGUGCGUAACACGUAGCUACCUACCUCGAAGUUGGGGAUAGCUCGGCGAAAGCCGGAUUAAUACCGAAUGUGAUCGUGAGAUCAAAGCUGGGGAUCGUAAGACCUGGCGCUUUGAGAUGGGGCUGCGGCCUAUCAGGUAGUUGGCGGGGUAAUGGCCCACCAAGCCUAAGACGGGUAGCUGGUCUGAGAGGACGACCAGCCACACUGGAACUGAGACACGGUCCAGACACCUACGGGUGGCAGCAGUCGAGGAUUUUUCUCAAUAGGGGAAACCCUGAAGGAGCGACGCCGCGUGAGGGAUGAAGGUCUUC